This 253-nucleotide ribosomal RNA is filed under the name uncultured bacterium. Its description in RNAcentral is "partial 16S ribosomal RNA". It matches the Rfam family "Bacterial small subunit ribosomal RNA", at positions 524 to 776 of the family's 1533-position model. The record is from RNAcentral.
UACGGGGGGGGCAAGCGUUGUUCGGAAUUACUGGGCGUAAAGGGUUCGUAGGUGGCCAACUAAGUCAUACGUGAAAUCCCUCAGCUUAACUGGGGAACUGCGUCUGAUACUGGUUGGCUUGAGUGCAGGAGAGGAACGCGGAAUUCCAGGUGGAGCGGUAAAAUGCGUUGAUAUUCACAGGAACUCCGGUGGCGAAGGCGGCUCGCUGGAUCUUUUCUGACGCUGAGGCGCGAAAGCUAGGGGAGCAAACGGG